RNAcentral lists this transfer RNA (72 nucleotides) under Toxocara canis (dog roundworm). It matches the Rfam family "tRNA". Rfam says of the family: Transfer RNA (tRNA) molecules are approximately 80 nucleotides in length. Their secondary structure includes four short double-helical elements and three loops (D, anti-codon, and T loops). The record is from Rfam by way of RNAcentral. Lineage: Eukaryota; Metazoa; Nematoda; Chromadorea; Rhabditida; Toxocaridae.
GCGGCAAUAGCUCAGUGGUAGAGCCUCCGGUUCCCGUGCGGGAAGACCUGGGUUCGGUUCCCGGCUGCUUCC